This 318-nucleotide ribosomal RNA is filed under the name uncultured bacterium. Its description in RNAcentral is "bacterial SSU rRNA". It matches the Rfam family "Bacterial small subunit ribosomal RNA", at positions 28 to 334 of the family's 1533-position model. The record is from RNAcentral.
GAUGAACGCUAGCUACAGGCUUAACACAUGCAAGUCGCGGGGCAGCAUGGAUGUCCUUUCGGGGACAUCUGAUGGCGACCGGCGCACGGGUGAGUAACACGUAUGCAACCUGCCCCUGUCAGGGGGACAACCCGCCGAAAGGCGGGCUAAACCCGCGUACAUGCCACCGGGGCAUCCCGGAGGCAGGAAAGGCUUCGGCCGGACAGGGAUGGGCAUGCGGCGCAUUAGGCAGUAGGCGGGGUAACGGCCCACCUAACCGACGAUGCGUAGGGGUUCUGAGAGGAAGGUCCCCCACACUGGUACUGAGACACGGACCAG